GCCAAUCACCCGUGUCUCACCCCACUCCCACCCCAGCGGCCCAGCCGCCAAACGAACCCUAGCCCUCUUUCUCCUUCCCCUCGAUCCCCACGAGCCGCCGCACCCCUCCCUCGAUCCCCAGUUCCCCACGAUCCUCUCCUAGCCCGCAACCGCCGGUCUUGUCUCUCCACUCUACCAUGUCGUCGUCGAUCCCACCGUCGGCCUUCUCCUCUGCUUGCUUCCUCCGGUCCUCUUCCAUGUCACCGUCGUUCCAGAGCGGCGGCGGGGUCUCCGCGGUGCGGGUGGGGAUGUAGGGGAGGCGUGGGAUGCGGACGGCAGAGAGGAAGGCAAGCAACAGCGGGGAAUGAGCAGGUCAGCGAUCCUAGCGUUGGGAAGGGGCAGGGUGGGGCCUCACGCACCUGCCGGCGGCCGGCGGGAGCUUGAGCUCGAGACGAUGGAGGUGCUAAGGCGGGGCAGGAGAGGACGGCUCGCCGACGAGCUCGAGUUGGAGGCGGUGAGAUCUUUUCCUUCAUGGCUUCCCACCCGCUGAAUUCGUUGGUCCUCCUCCCUCCCCCGUGCGGCCGACCUCGUCCUUCGUCCCUCGAUCGUGCUGUGACAUUGCUUCCUCAAUUGGUCGCCGCCUCAUCUCGCCUGAACACGAUGCCGUCCGGGGCAGCGCCGGCACCGAGGCACCACCUCUUCCUCCACCCCCACUGGGCAAAGAGCUCGAGGUGUUUGGGGGUUUCUUGUCCCUGAUGUCAUGUUGUGAUUGGUGCAGCCGCUGGAUGAGAAAGAGCAUAGGAUCCAGGAAAGCAACCAUAGGAGACGGAGAAGACGUCCCCAUGGCUUCUACGAGGACCAGAAGCGUUUCCUUCAGCAACCUGGGGUUGUUAAGAAGAGGGUCGGGAUUGCCCUAGGCAGAUGCUUAAAUUCCUGGAUGUAAACGCACACUUGCCUCCUACACAGGCCAAAAUACUAUUGGAGAUAAGGAUACUUGUUUUGCAUAUUUGCAUCUCGAAGAAGCUUGCCCGCUAUUGUAAGUCUGACAUUUUCUUGCUUGCUUGUGGAAAAACUAGUUCUCAUUCAGUUAUGCUUGUCAGUCUGAUAGAAGAUGGACACCCCUCUUCAAGUUGGUUUAUGGGCUUGCGGAGUGUGAGAAACCCCUGGUAUGGCUCCAUCCUUCGUCCCUUGCUCCGUGGCCUGGAUGUCGAGGGAGGGCGAGAGGUGGUGAUAUGUAGGGGUGAGGGAGAUGGAGGCGGUGGCCUGCAGCUCCUAUUGAAGGGGCGGAGAAGAGGGGGUGCGGAGAUGAGAGGCUAUUUUUGUUUAUUCCAUCAUGCAGUAUUUCUGAGUUGGUUCACUCUGAAAAAAGCAGUUUUUCUGUACCAAUGGGGUGACAUUACACUACUCUUCACUUCCACAGGCAAUGGAAUACUAAAUAACCUGGCAACGGAUACCCUGUGGUCUACCAUUAUAAUUAUGUGUGCAUUUUGGAUCUAUUGGAUGUCUGAAUGUAAUGCUAAUUGACAUUUACUAUUGCAAAGAUUUUGCAGGGAUGUAGAUAUAUAUGGUGAUGUUUCACUACGAUCUAAGUGUUUCAGUUCAUAUUUAGCAGGAUCACAUGUUGACCAAUGACUCUUUGCUGUGAGUUAUUGACAAUUCCUUGAUUUUUGCAACUCAGGAGUGAAGAUGGCCUUCCUUUGGUUGGUGUAGUGAAUGAAUUUUCUUCUAAUUCAGGCCAUGGUUGAUACCGCUCGGCGGCUGGAUCUGCCAUGGAGUGGCUACCAUGGGCCAACUAGAGUUGGGUGUCCCUUUUUCCGACCUCAAGGCGGUGAGAUUAGAGUCCAAUCUUGCAGGCUGAGAAAAAUAUUGGCAAGCAUUACCAUUAUGAUCCUCCCUUGAUCAUCAUUGUUGAAGGAAAACGUAUUAGAGAUGGUAUUGUCAAGCUAAAUGUACCAGCAGCCGAUGAUGGACCUUGUGAUGCAUAUAGUUUGCAUAUUUCUCUUCA
Molecule: long non-coding RNA, 1984 nt
Organism: Triticum aestivum (bread wheat)
Lineage: Eukaryota; Viridiplantae; Streptophyta; Magnoliopsida; Poales; Poaceae
Exons: 7
Source: RefSeq, a predicted model, not a curated record